Molecule: long non-coding RNA, 1055 nt
Organism: Peromyscus eremicus (cactus mouse)
Lineage: Eukaryota; Metazoa; Chordata; Mammalia; Rodentia; Cricetidae
Exons: 4
Source: RefSeq, a predicted model, not a curated record
UUUGGGGAAGUGAAAGGAUUCAGCCCACACCCUACUAGGCCCUGUGGCCCAGAAGCAGUGCGGAGGGAAACUCCUCACCCCAUCCCCCAUGCACAUUCAGACACCACACCACCAUCCCUGAAACACACACACUGUGUACUCUGGGACAGGUUCUUAUCUAGCCCAGACCAUCUAGAGGGAAGGGCCCAAGCUUCUAUUCCAGGACCCAGACCCAGUGGCAUUUUCUCAGGAAGAGCAUAUGGCCAGGGGGCUCCUGUGUCCCUGCCUAACUGGCUGAGAGUCUGAGCAGCCCUGUGUCACACCCUCUUCCAUCUGGGUGCCUUCAUUCCUCACUGAAGGCUGACCAGUGCUUUCAAUGGUCACUGAGCCUUUUUAGUUAGGCUGCAGAAGCCUGCAGGGUUGUAUGGGCCUGGCAUUCUACUGCCACCAAGUACACCACCAGAGAUGCACGUGGGCACAUGUGGCAUGUGGAGAGCCCUCGUUUCAGCAGCAGGUCUUGAAUUUGUGACCACCCUGCCUCAGCCUCCCAAGUACAUAGGCUCAUAAACCUCGGAUACAACAACUGGCUUGCAAUAAAGCACUGGAUACUCAUGCUCACUCUGACAAGAGACCUUGAGCGCUCGGCCAGCACUGACACACCCACGGUCACCUCAGACAGUGGGUCUUCAGCUGCCCGCAUUAGCACAAUCUGAAUGACGCGGCCUUCGUAGACAUGGGCAUCGAAUGUUGACUUCCACUCGGGGGAGCCCAGCUCAUAGGAAUUGAAGGAGAUGCGCAGGAACGGCGCCAUGGUGAAGCCUGCGGAAGAUUGUGCACAUGAAGGGAUGAAGCGAGACAGUGACGCAGAGGCGGUGGAGACCGCUGCCGGGAUGCUACUCAGGCCCCCACUCUCCACAGAGCUCACCACUGGAGCUGCCCCACAUGGUACAGCAAAUGCACUAGUCUCUGGUGCCAAUGGGGAAAGCUGGGCAGUCUAACUUAAGUCUGGGUUGAGGCGCUGCUGGUAAAACUAAAAGAUGGGAAACCAGACUUGUCGAGCAACAGCCACCGUGCUG